Molecule: ribosomal RNA, 497 nt
Filed under: uncultured bacterium
Lineage: Bacteria
Description: partial 16S ribosomal RNA
Rfam family: Bacterial small subunit ribosomal RNA
Source: RNAcentral
GAUGAACGCUGGCGGCGUGCCUAAUACAUGCAAGUCGAGCGAACAGACGAGGAGCUUGCUCCUCUGACGUUAGCGGCGGACGGGUGAGUAACACGUGGAUAACCUACCUAUAAGACUGGGAUAACUUCGGGAAACCGGAGCUAAUACCGGAUAAUAUAUUGAACCGCAUGGUUCAAUAGUGAAAGACGGUUUUGCUGCCACUUAUAGAUGGAUCCGCGCCGCAUUAGCUAGUUGGUAAGGUAACGGCUUACCAAGGCAACGAUGCGUAGCCGACCUGAGAGGGUGAUCGGCCACACUGGAACUGAGACACGGUCCAGACUCCUACGGGAGGCAGCAGUAGGGAAUCUUCCGCAAUGGGCGAAAGCCUGACGGAGCAACGCCGCGUGAGUGAUGAAGGUCUUCGGAUCGUAAAACUCUGUCAUUAGGGAAGAACAAAUGUGUAAGUAACUAUGCACGUCUUGACGGUACCUAAUCAGAAAGCCACGGCUAACUACGUG